GACGAACGCUGGCGGCGUGCUUAACACAUGCAAGUCGAGCGGAAAGAUCCUGCUUUUGUUGCUUGCUCGAUAGGCGAACGGGUGUGUAACACGUGAGUAUCCUGUCCUUAUCAUUGUGGUAACUUUUGGAAACUGGGGCUAAUAUCGGAUAGGAUCUACUGAUGCGUGUUGUUCGAUGGAGAAUUUCGGCGGUUGUGGAUGGACUCGCUGCUUAUCAGCUUGUUGGUGGGGUAGUGGAGUACCAGGGUUUUGACGGGUAGCCGGCCUGAGAGGGUGACCGGCCACAUUGGGACUGAGAUACGGCCCAGACUCCUACGGGAGGCAGCAGUGGGGAAUAUUGCACAAUGGGCGGAAGCCUGAUGCAGCAACGCCGCGUGCGGGAUGACGGCCUUCGGGUUGUAAACCGCUUUCGCCUGUGACGAAGCGUGAGUGACGGUAAUGGGUAAAGAAGCACCGGCUAACUACGUG
Molecule: ribosomal RNA, 468 nt
Filed under: uncultured bacterium
Lineage: Bacteria
Description: partial 16S ribosomal RNA
Rfam family: Bacterial small subunit ribosomal RNA
Source: RNAcentral